UCCGGUUUGGCACCGGCAGUCUCCCGUGAGUCCCCGGCUUUCCCGCUGGCAACAUGGGACAGGGGUUGCGCUCGUUGCGCCACUUAAGGCAACACCUCACGGCACGAGCUGACGACGGCCAUGCAACACCUGUGCGGGCUCCCGAAGGAGGACCGUAUUUCUACGGCUUCACCCCGCAUGUCAAGCCCUGGUAAGGUUCUUCGCGUUGCGUCGAAUUAAGCCACAUGCUCCGCCGCUUGUGCGGGCCCCCGUCAAUUCCUUUGAGUUUUAGCCUUGCGACCGUACUCCCCAGGCGGGGCACUUAAUGCGUUAGCUUCGGCACUGCAGGGGUCGAUACCCGCAACACCAAGUGCCCAUCGUUUACAGCCAGGACUAC
This 376-nucleotide unclassified non-coding RNA is filed under the name uncultured Actinomycetes bacterium. Its description in RNAcentral is "uncultured actinobacterium contains 16S-23S intergenic spacer region". Lineage: Bacteria; Bacillati; Actinomycetota; Actinomycetes. The record is from RNAcentral.